Molecule: ribosomal RNA, 253 nt
Filed under: uncultured bacterium
Lineage: Bacteria
Description: partial 16S ribosomal RNA
Rfam family: Bacterial small subunit ribosomal RNA
Source: RNAcentral
UACAGAGGGGGCAAGCGUUGUUCGGAAUUACUGGGCGUAAAGGGCGCGUAGGCGGCCCGCUAAGUCGAACGUGAAAUCCCCAGGCUCAACCUGGGAACUGCGUCCGAUACUGGCAGGCUUGAAUCCGGGAGAGGGAUGUGGAAUUCCAGGUGUAGCGGUGAAAUGCGUAGAUAUCUGGAGGAACACCGGUGGCGAAGGCGGCAUCCUGGACCGGCAUUGACGCUGAGGCGCGAAAGCUAGGGUAGCAAACGGG